This 1877-nucleotide long non-coding RNA is filed under the name Homo sapiens (human). Its description in RNAcentral is "HSALNT0125373". The record is from RNAcentral. Lineage: Eukaryota; Metazoa; Chordata; Mammalia; Primates; Hominidae.
UUGAAUUUAUUCUUGCUGAUUGCAAGAUCGGUGCUUUUUUCACUGUUCCUAACUGCCUCAAAAAAAAAAAGAGCCAUAUAGAUUAUUAGAUAAGUUCUUCAGUGUGCAUAUUUCAAUUUAGCUGUGGUUUACUUUGCCUCUGUGGAAAGCAUAAAAUGGAAGAAUGGUUAAGAGGUUAUUUGCAAUAAUCCAGGAGAGAAACAAUGGCAAAAUGACAGCACGAUUGUAUACUGAUGGAUAAUCCAGUGGAGCAGGAAAAACUGAUGCUACAAGGGAGAAAAAAGAAUUGUUAAAGCAAAGUCUUUGAAGAGGCAAAAAGGGAUGGGAUUCACUGUAAAGUAGAGGUUCGUAUGAUAUAAAAACAUGAACUGUUUCUCAACAGUAAUGGAAGAGGAGACAAAGAAUCUGGUCUGAUAUAGGCAGGCUGACAUGCUUAGUGGUAAGAUCAUAUGGAAAUUUCCUUUUAAUGACUUCAAUUUUAUAAAUGAACUAGAAAGCAAAAAUGUUAUCUAAGAGAGGGCAUGCCAGAACUAUACUAUUUCAUUUACAAUAGUUUCACAGUGUGUUCCUCCAAUAUUUUUAUAUUUUCCACAGUGCUUUUGUUCUAUUUGCUAGCCACAGUUCUUAGCCAUUUUUUUUUUUUUUUUUUUUUUUUUUUUUUGAGACGGAGUCUCGUUCUGUCGCCAGGCAGGAGUGCAAUGGUGUGAUCUCGGAUCACUGCAACCUCCGCCUCCCAGGUUCAAGCUAUUCUCCUGCCUCAGCCUCCUGAGCAGCUGGGACCUUAGGCACCUGCCACUGCACCCAGCUAAUUUUUGUAUUCUUAGUAGAGACGGGGUUUCACUAUGUUGGCCAGGAUGGUCUCAAUCUCUUGACCCCAUGAUCUGCCCUCCCUGGCCUCCCAAAGUGCUGGGAUUACAGGUGUGAGCCAUAGUGCCCAGCCCAUAUAUUAUUCUUUUAAAUGGCCUACAGUAUCAGCCUUUCAGAUUCAAACAAAGGAAAAAUAGAAUUUUGACUGAAAUUAAAUGUAUGAAUUUGAACAUAAUCAGCAGCUUAACAAUAUCAUGUCUUUCUAGAAAACUGACCUGUCUCUCCACUUAUUCCAGGCUUCUUUUAUGUCCUCUAAUAAAGGUUUAUAUUUUUCUAUUUUCAGUUUUGUUCGCAUGUUGUCAAAUUCAAUUCUCAAUAUUUUAUAUUUUUGCUUUUAUUUUGGAAUGUGAGCUAUCCUUCUCUUAUCUCAUCCUAUAGCAUUUAAGACUAGACUGGAUAUUACUUAUACAAAGGAAGGUAAUUCAAUUUCUGCCAACUGGUAUUCUUGUGACUUUAUCCCCACAAAUUUCUCUCUCUGCAGCUGAAAAACACAAACUCAAUAACCUCUGUAAUUAAAAAAAAUUAAAUAUAAAAAUAUUUACAUUAUUCCUAUUGUACUGACUAGACAAUUGAGUCUCAAAGACGAUAAUUUAUCCAACAUAAUUGUGUGAAUAAUGACAAAAAAACACCCAGUUUUGGGAAAAUUACAAAUGCAAUUUCUAGCAGACACUGCUUGGUUAUCUAGUGUUUUGAAAUAAACAACUCCAAAACUUCGUGGCUUGAAAUAAGCAUUAUUUAUCUUAUUACAGUUGUUUGGGUUGAUAAUUUAGACAGAGCUUAGCUGGGAUGGCUUGUCUUUGCUCCAUGUUAUGCUGACUUGACUCACUCAUCUAGUUGCAGUUAACUGGCAGGGCAGCUGGAGCCUGGCUGGUCCCAGAUGGCCACACACUUUGUGGCUGGUAGUUGCCUGGCACUCAUAAGGUGCCUUCAUUUUCCUCCACCUAGCCUAUCCAGCAGACUAUCUUGGGCAUCCUGGGCUUCAAGAAGAAAACCGCGAUGUACCAGCACAA